GUAGGGAAUAUUGGGCAAUGGAUGCAAGUCUGACCCAGCCAUCCCGCGUGCAGGAAGAAGGCCUUCGGGUUGUAAACUGCUUUUGUACGGAACGAAACGGUCCGGGUUAAUACCCUGGGCUAAUGACGGUACCGUAAGAAUAAGCACCGGCUAACUACGUGCCAGCAGCCGCGGUAAUACGUAGGGUGCAAGCGUUAAUCGGAAUUACUGGGCGUAAAGCGUGCGCAGGCGGUUUUGUAAGACAGGCGUGAAAUCCCCGGGCUCAACCUGGGAAUUGCGCUUGUGACUGCAAGGCUGGAGUGCGGCAGAGGGGGAUGGAAUUCCGCGUGUAGCAGUGAAAUGCGUAGAUAUGCGGAGGAACACCGAUGGCGAAGGCAAUCCCCUGGGCCUGCACUGACGCUCAUGCACGAAAGCGUGGGGAGCAAACAGGAUUAGAAACCCCAGUAGUCC
This 450-nucleotide ribosomal RNA is filed under the name uncultured bacterium. Its description in RNAcentral is "partial 16S ribosomal RNA". It matches the Rfam family "Bacterial small subunit ribosomal RNA", at positions 354 to 796 of the family's 1533-position model. The record is from RNAcentral.